UAACCAGGAACACCCCAUGAUUCCCAGUUGCCUUUGGUUCUGCUCACGGGAGUUCUUGGUUUCA
This 64-nucleotide microRNA precursor is filed under the name Canis lupus familiaris (dog). Its description in RNAcentral is "Cfa-Novel-16_pre stem-loop". The record is from RNAcentral. Lineage: Eukaryota; Metazoa; Chordata; Mammalia; Carnivora; Canidae.